This 873-nucleotide ribosomal RNA is filed under the name Triticum aestivum (bread wheat). RNAcentral describes it as "partial small subunit ribosomal RNA". Lineage: Eukaryota; Viridiplantae; Streptophyta; Magnoliopsida; Poales; Poaceae. The record is from RNAcentral.
AUGGCCUACUUCGACGAGAAAGCGAAGGAAGAUCCAGAUUUCUUCUACAGGAUAAGGUUGGACGAUGAGGACCGUGUCAGGAACAUGUAUUGGGUGGAUGGUGCUGCAAGGAGAGCCUACAAACAUUUCCGAGAUUGCAUUUCAUUUGAUGCGACGUGUCUCACUAAUAUGUACAAGAUGCCAUGCGCUCCGUUCAUAGGAAUAAAUAACCACAAUUAGUCGUUGCAGUUCGGCUGCGGGCUCAUUCGGAACGAAGACACGGAUGGGUACGGUUGGCUGUUCAAGACCUUUUUGGAGUGCAUGGAUGGACUUGCUUCGAUGAACAUAAUAACAUACCAGGAUUUCAGCAUGCGUGCAGGCAUAGAGGAGGUCUUUCCGUUGGCAGUGCACAGGCACUGCAAGUGGCACAUUAUAAAGAAGGCUGAGGAGACGCUAGGACCGUUCUUUGCUGACCGUCCAGAGCUCCACAAGGCAUUCGAGCUGUGCGUGGACCACAGCUUGACGGUGGAGGAGUUUGAAAGGAGCUGGAUGGCCAUGAUUGAAACAUAUCAAGUCCAAGACAACGAGACGCUUGCUAGCCUGUGGGAGAAGCGAAUGUACUGGGUGCCAGCCUACUUCAUGCAAUGCUUUUUCCCCUUUCUGCAGACUACGCAGCGCAGCGAGGGGUUCAAUGUUGUUUUUAAGCGGUACGUGAGCCCUGGCAACUCAUUGCUACAGUUUGCCAAGCAAUACAUAGCUUUGCAACAAAAAAUUCUGGGAUCUAAGCUACAGCAAGAAGCAACCACUGCGCUAAAGCAGCCAAAAUUGCUAACAUAUUUACCGAUGGAGAGGCAAAUGAGCAAGAUAUACACCAACAAGAUCUUUAACAAAUAA